Molecule: microRNA precursor, 69 nt
Filed under: Saccoglossus kowalevskii
Lineage: Eukaryota; Metazoa; Hemichordata; Enteropneusta; Harrimaniidae
Description: microRNA sko-mir-193a precursor
Gene: sko-mir-193a
Source: miRBase by way of RNAcentral
AUUGUUACGGGAUUUGAUUGAUCAGUUCAAGUGUUUUGUCUGAACUGGCCUUUUAAGUCCCGCAAUGUU